RNAcentral lists this long non-coding RNA (1102 nucleotides) under Homo sapiens (human). Its description in RNAcentral is "non-protein coding lnc-ANXA1-6:1". Lineage: Eukaryota; Metazoa; Chordata; Mammalia; Primates; Hominidae. The record is from RNAcentral.
CUGCCUCUCCUUUUGUUCCUAAAUUGACAGCUAAUGUCUUCAGAGGGGGCAUCCCUCACCCUGACAGUGUAAAUUAACAGUUUAUCUUCACUUCAAGGGUACAGAAGUGUAGGAAAAUGACACGGUGAAAUAGAUGGGUACUCACUGGCAGCAGUUUCAUCAAUUCUAGCUUCAAAUUGUCACCUAAUGCCAUUGUUUUAUUCUGUAACCUAUAGAUUUACUUUGUAAUGAUUGAUUCUGUAAAAUUGAAUUAUAAGGUUUAUUUUUGUUAAAGUUUUUUUUUUGUUUUUUUUUACUACUUUUAGUUUUUUUUGGGUUUUUUUUGGUUUUUUUUUUUUUUUUUUUUUUUUUUUUGUGACAGAGCCUUGUUCUGUCGCCCAGGCUCUGGAGUGCAUUGGUGCGGUCUCAACUCAUAGCAACCUCCACCUCCUGGGUUCAAGUGAUUCUUCUGCCUCAGCCUUCUGAGUAGCUGGUAUUACAGGCACCUGCCACCACGCCCAGCUAAUUUUUGUACUUUUAGUAGAGACAGGGUUUCACCAUGUUGCCAGGCUAGUCUCAAACUUGUGACCUUGGCCUCCCUAAAUGCUGGGAUUACAGGUGUGAGCCACUGCGCCUGGCCUUAAUUUUCAUUUUCAAUGAAAGUUUUGUUAAGUUUAAUUUUAAAAAAACUUGAUGAUUCAAGGUUUCAUUACACAAACUCAGGUAAAGUUACUGGAUGAAUGAAUUCUUUUGUAUACCUAAUCCUGUAAACAAACCAGUAAAGGAAUAGAGUAGCCUCUAUAUUUAAAAUUCUGUCCCCAAUAUAUGAAACUGACAUAGUGCCAAUGCAAAUUAGCUCCCUUGCUGAACAUUUUCAUUCACACUGUACACACCACAGUGAGCCAGGACAUUUCUUUCUCAGUAAGAUGUUCAGAACUCUGGCCAACAACUGGCUUGAUGUUUGCAUUUUCCAUGUGACGUAGUGUUUUCCUUGGUUGACUAUUAUGGCCCCACCCUGAUGAGCCGCGUGAGCCACUGCGCCUGGCUUUUUUUUUUUUUUUUUUUUUAAUUAAAGAUAUUGGCUAUGCUUGUAAGAAGAUGAGACACUCUUCUAUUUAUGAUC